This is a non-coding RNA of Cinara cedri, 461 nucleotides long. Lineage: Eukaryota; Metazoa; Arthropoda; Insecta; Hemiptera; Aphididae. The record is from the annotation of a GenBank genome assembly.
CCGAGAGCUUACAAUAUAAGGACCCUCCGCGUAUAUACGCGAAUACGUUCGCCCCAGGUGCAGUGUAGUUGUCUGGCGAGGUGUUGCACACGCCCCGUACCUCUUACGUCGGACGUGUGUGUAUGUAUUAUACUCACGUGUUUGCGUUACAUUUUGUUCCGGGUGACUUAUUUCUGCCCCUCGUCCCUUACCCCCUCCCCCCUUGCAGUGACUAUUAGUAUACGUGUGACGUAAUACGUUCGUAUCUACUGGCGAUAACAUACCUAAUAUAUAUAUAUAUAGGUUGCGGAAUGGAGUCGAUUAAUUCUUUGUGCGUGGGCGUGUGCGAUUUCGACGAGCGUACUCGAAAAGCCUCGUGAAUAUAUCGCGCAAAAAUAUCGAUCCCCGCUGCGCCGAGUCAAAUAUCUCGAAAAAGGCCUAACCUUUAUUAUCACGUGUAUAGGCGCCCCGUGUGAACUUUC